GAUGAACGCUGGCGGCGUGCCUAACACAUGCAAGUCGAGCGAUUCUCUUCGGAAAAUAGCGGCGGACGGGGGAGUAGCGCGAGGGUAACCUGCCCUGUACACACGGAUAACAUACCGAAAGGUAUGCUAAUACGGGAUAAUAUAUGAAAGUCGCAUGGCUUUUAUAUCAAAGCUUUUGAGGUACAGGAUGGACCCGCAUCUGAUUAGCUAGUUGGUGAGGUAAUGGCUCACCAAGGCGACCAUCAGUAGCCGACCUGAGAGGGUGAUCAGCCACACCGAAACUGAGACACGGACCUGACUCCUACGGGAGGCUCCUAUGGGGAAUAUUGCAGAAUGGGCGAAAGCCUGAUGCACCAACGCCACGUGAGCGAUGAAGGCCUUCGGGUCGUGAAUCUCUGUCCUCAAGGAAUAUAAUGACGGUACUUGAGGAGGAAGCCCCGGCUAACUACUUGCCACCGGCCGCGGUAAUACGUAGGGGGCUAGCGUUAUGCGGAAUUACUGGGCGUAAAGGGUGCGUAGGUGGUUUUUUAAAUCUGAAGUGAAAGGCUACUGCUCAACUGGAUUGAGCUUUUGAAUCUAAAGAACUUGAGUGCAGGAUAGGAGAGUAGAAUUCCUAGUGUAUCGGUGAAAUGCGGUAGAUAUUAGGAGGAAUACCAGGUAGCG
This 663-nucleotide ribosomal RNA is filed under the name uncultured bacterium. Its description in RNAcentral is "bacterial SSU rRNA". It matches the Rfam family "Bacterial small subunit ribosomal RNA", at positions 28 to 717 of the family's 1533-position model. The record is from RNAcentral.